This 478-nucleotide ribosomal RNA is filed under the name uncultured bacterium. RNAcentral's name for it is "bacterial SSU rRNA". It matches the Rfam family "Bacterial small subunit ribosomal RNA", at positions 28 to 518 of the family's 1533-position model. The record is from RNAcentral.
GACGAACGCUGGCGGCGCGCCUAACACAUGCAAGUCGAACGAGAGAUGAGGAGCUUGCUCUUCAAAUCGAGUGGCGAACGGGUGAGUAACGCGUGAGGAACCUGCCUCAAAGAGGGGGACAACAGUUGGAAACGACUGCUAAUACCGCAUAAGCCCACGGCUCGGCAUCGAGCAGAGGGAAAAGGAGUGAUCCGCUUUGAGAUGGCCUCGCGUCCGAUUAGCUAGUUGGUGAGGUAACGGCCCACCAAGGCGACGAUCGGUAGCCGGACUGAGAGGAUGAACGGCCACAUUGGGACUGAGAUACGGCCCAGACUCCUACGGGAGGCAGCAGUGGGGAAUAUUGCACAAUGGGGGAAACCCUGAUGCAGCGACGCCGCGUGAGUGAGGAAGUAUUUCGGUAUGUAAAACUCUAUCAGCAGGGAAGAUAAAUGACGGUACCUGACUAAGAAGCACCGGCUAAAUACGUGCCAGCAGCCGC